This 1344-nucleotide ribosomal RNA is filed under the name uncultured bacterium. Its description in RNAcentral is "16S ribosomal RNA". It matches the Rfam family "Bacterial small subunit ribosomal RNA", at positions 28 to 1378 of the family's 1533-position model. The record is from RNAcentral.
GACGAACGCUGUCGGCGUGCUUAACACAUGCAAGUCGAACGGAAAGGCCCUGCUUUUGUGGGGUGCUCGAGUGGCGAACGGGUGAGUAACACGUGAGUAACCUGCCCUUGACUUUGGGAUAACUUCAGGAAACUGGGGCUAAUACCGGAUAGGAGCUCCUGCUGCAUGGUGGGGGUUGGAAAGUUUCGGCGGUUGGGGAUGGACUCGCGGCUUAUCAGCUUGUUGGUGGGGUAGUGGCUUACCAAGGCUUUGACGGGUAGCCGGCCUGAGAGGGUGACCGGCCACAUUGGGACUGAGAUACGGCCCAGACUCCUACGGGAGGCAGCAGUGGGGAAUAUUGCACAAUGGGCGGAAGCCUGAUGCAGCAACGCCGCGUGCGGGAUGACGGCCUUCGGGUUGUAAACCGCUUUCGCCUGUGACGAAGCGUGAGUGACGGUAAUGGGUAAAGAAGCACCGGCUAACUACGUGCCAGCAGCCGCGGUGAUACGUAGGGUGCGAGCGUUGUCCGGAUUUAUUGGGCGUAAAGGGCUCGUAGGUGGUUGAUCGCGUCGGAAGUGUAAUCUUGGGGCUUAACCCUGAGCGUGCUUUCGAUACGGGUUGACUUGAGGAAGGUAGGGGAGAAUGGAAUUCCUGGUGGAGCGGUGGAAUGCGCAGAUAUCAGGAGGAACACCAGUGGCGAAGGCGGUUCUCUGGGCCUUUCCCUGACGCUGAGGAGCGAAAGCGUGGGGAGCGAACAGGCUUAGAUACCCUGGUAGUCCACGCUGUAAACGGUGGGUACUAGGUGUGGGGUCCAUUCCACGGGUUCCGUGCCGUAGCUAACGCUUUAAGUACCCCGCCUGGGGAGUACGGCCGCAAGGCUAAAACUCAAAGGAAUUGACGGGGCCCCGCACAAGCGGCGGAGCAUGCGGAUUAAUUCGAUGCAACGCGUAGAACCUUACCUGGGUUUGACAUGGAUCGGGAGUGCUCAGAGAUGGGUGUGCCUCUUUUGGGGUCGGUUCACAGGUGGUGCAUGCCUGUCGUCAGCUCGUGUCGUGAGAUGUUGGGUUAAGUCCCGCAACGAGCGCAACCCUUGUUCACUGUUGCCAGCACGUUAUGGUGGGGACUCAGUGGAGACCGCCGGGGUCAACUCGGAGGAAGGUGGGGAUGACGUCAAGUCAUCAUGCCCCUUAUGUCCAGGGCUUCACGCAUGCUACAAUGGCUGGUACAGAGAGUGGCGAGCCUGUGAGGGUGAGCGAAUCUCGGAAAGCCGGUCUCAGUUCGGAUUGGGGUCUGCAACUCGACCUCAUGAAGUCGGAGUCGCUAGUAAUCGCAGAUCAGCAACGCUGCGGUGAAUACGUUCCCGGG